UGGUUUGAUUCUGGCUCAGGAUGAACGCUGGCGGCAUGCCUAAUACAUGCAAGUCGAACGGAGUGAAGCCUUCGGGUUUCAUUCAGUGGCGAACGGGUGAGUAAUACGCAGGGAACCUGGCCAUGGCAGGGGGAUACACUCUGGAAACGGAGCAUAAGACCCCAUAGGCAGUAAGGCGGCAUCGCCUUGCUGUUAAAGAAAGCUGAAAGGCUUUGGCGAUGGAUGGACCUGCGGUGCAUUAGCUUGUUGGUGAGGCAACGGCUUACCAAGGCGAUGAUGCAUAGCCGGCCUGAGAGGGCGGACGGCCACACUGGGACUGAGACACGGCCCAGACUCCUUCGGGAGGCAGCAGUAGGGAAUUUUCGUCAAUGGGCGCAAGCCUGAACGAGCAAUGCCGCGUGAGUGAGGAAGGUCUUCGGACUGUAAAGCUCUGUUGCCGGGGAAAAAGGGGAAAUGCAGGAAAUGGCAUUUCAUGGAUGGUACCCGGCCAGAAAGCCACGGCUAACUACGUGCCAGCAGCCGCGGUAAUACGUAGGUGGCGAGCGUUAUCCGGAAUGAUUGGGCGUAAAGGGUGCGCAGGCGGUCUGUUAAGUCUGAAGGCAAAGGGAUGAGCUCAACUCAUUUAUGAUUCAGAAACUGGCAGACUUGAGGACAGGAGAGGGCGGUGGAACUCCAUGUGUAGCGGUAAAAUGCGCAGAGAUAUGGAAGAACACCAGUGGCGAAGGCGACCGCCUGGCCUGUGACUGACGCUGAGGCACGAAAGCGUGGGGAGCAAAUAGGAUUAGAUACCCUAGUAGUCCACGCCGUAAACGAUGAGGAGCAGGUGUUGGGAGUGAAAUCUCAGUGCCGAAGCCAACGCAGUGACUCCUCCGCCUGGGGAGUAUGCACGCAAGUGUGAAACUCAAAGGAAUUGACGGGGGCCCGCACAAGCGGUGGAGUAUGUGGUUUAAUUCGAAGCAACGCGAAGAACCUUACCAGGUUUUGACAUCGGAUGCGAAGGCGCAGAGAUGCGCUGGAGGCUAUCAUCCAGACAGGUGGUGCAUGGUUGUCGUCAGCUCGUGUCGUGAGAUGUUCAGUUAAGUCUGGCAACGAGCGCAACCCCCGUGGUAUGUUACUAACGCAUUUGGGCGAGGACUCAUAUCAGACUGCCGGUGACAAACCGGAGGAAGGCGGGGAUGACGUCAAAUCAUCAUGCCCCUUAUGACCUGGGCUACACACGUACUACAAUGGCGUCUACAGAGGGAAGCGACCCUGAGAAGGGAAGCGAAACCGGAAAAGGGCGUCCCAGUUCGGAUUGAAGUCUGCAACCCGACUUCAUGAAGAUGGAAUCGCUAGUAAUCGCGGAUCAGCAUGCCGCGGUGAAUACGUUCCCGGGCCUUGUACACACCGCCCGUCAAACCAUGGAAGCCGGCAACGCCCGAAGCCGGUGGCAUAACCUUUUAGGAGUGAGCCGUCGAAGGCGGGGCCGAUGACUGGGGUUAAGUCGUAACAAGGUAUCC
RNAcentral lists this ribosomal RNA (1499 nucleotides) under uncultured bacterium. Its description in RNAcentral is "bacterial SSU rRNA". It matches the Rfam family "Bacterial small subunit ribosomal RNA". The record is from RNAcentral.